Molecule: long non-coding RNA, 1082 nt
Organism: Camelus dromedarius (Arabian camel)
Lineage: Eukaryota; Metazoa; Chordata; Mammalia; Artiodactyla; Camelidae
Exons: 2
Source: RefSeq, a predicted model, not a curated record
UCAGCCUCGAUGUGAGAACCUCCUACAUGUUCAGUCUCUGCUUGAACACUUCCACUGAUGGGGAGCUCACCAUUUAUCUUUGGAUAAAGUGUCUGGUCACUGAAGGAAGUAGGGGGAACCUCCAAGAAUUUGUUUGUUUGUUUUGUGGGGGAAGUAAUUAGGUUUUUAUUUAUUUAAUUCCUUUUUUUAAAUGGAAGUACUGAGGAUUGAAUCCAGGACCUUGUGCAUGCUAAGCAUGCACUCUACUACUUGAGCUAUACCCUCCCCCCGAAGAAUGUUUUGUGUGUAUGUGUAUGUGUAUGAAAGAGAGACAGAGAGAGAGGGAAGGGGAGAGAAGGGGAGAGUGAAAAAGAAGCAGGGUAGUCACCUAGAUUUUCACCAUUCCAGUGGAGCCCUGCCUGAAGGACAGUGGGGCCGAUGAGUGCUGACUGGUUGUUCUUAGUUAAGCCGGGGAGAUUUUAUGGUGGGAUGGAGCCUGAUGUCCUUGUUCCAAAGUCCAAGGAUGCAGGGGCAAACUUGCACAGAAUGAGAUCAUGUGAGCCAGCCUUCAAGAACAGAGACUUUGCUUGGCUAGCAGGAUUUAAGCCAUUGCCUUAGUAAGCCCUGGAAACAAGUCAGAUCUACCUUUGGAAGCUCAGUUAGAACCCGAAGACUGCAGACAAGGUACUUUUAAAGGUCUUUAGUGUUUACUAAGCUACCAUUUCAGCAGUGGGUGGCAAGCCUCAUUUGAAGCAAACCAACUUAGUGGUGCCUUGGGCUGCCCCAUUUGUAAGAGGCCAGUGUUCCUUCUCUGCACUGGCCCUGCUUGGAGCGUCGUGUGGACCAUCCUGGCAGGUGCGGAGCCCUGCGAUCACCUGAGAUCUAUAGGCGGACUUCCUCACGGUUUUAGCAUCACUUCCUUGGGCAAGAAGUUACUACGGUUCUGCUUAACCCUGGAAGCAACUUGGAGGACACUGCUUGAACAUCUGGACCUCUCUGGACCUGGGCUUGCUUGCCUAUAAAAGGGGGCUACUUUUCUGAUUUAAGGGAGGUGGCAUAGCCUGAGUUCCUGUUGGAAAUAAAAGCCUUAGGUGGUUGCUUUA